This is a long non-coding RNA of Columba livia (rock pigeon), 1839 nucleotides long. RefSeq lists it as uncharacterized. NCBI's taxonomy places the organism in Eukaryota, Metazoa, Chordata, Aves, Columbiformes, Columbidae. The record is from RefSeq and is a predicted model, not a curated record. The transcript is spliced from 3 exons.
GCAAGGGGGUGUGCGGGGCUGUAACGGGGGCUGAGAGUCGGUGAAGGGUUUGGAGGGGAAGCCGUGUGAGGAGCGGCUGAAGUCACUUGGUUUGUUCAGCCUGGCAAAGAAGAGACUGAGGGGAGAGCUCAUGGCGCCUACAGCUUCCUCACAAGGGGAGGAGGAGGGGCAGGCGCUCAGCUCUUCACUCUGGUGACCGGUGGCAGAAUCUGAGGGAAUGGCAGGAAGAUGUGCCAGGGGAGAUUUAGGUUGGACAUGAGAAAAAGGUUCUUCCCCCAGAGGGUGCUGGACACUGAACAGGCUCCCCAGGGAGGUGUCACGGCCCCAAGCCUGACAGUGUUCAAGAAGAGACUGGACAACGUCCUCAGACACACGAUGUGAACUGUGGGGUUGUCCUGUGCAGGGACAGGAGUUGGACUUGAUGAUCCUUGUGGGAUCCUGCUCAGGACAUUGUGUGAUUCUGUGAGGGGUGAGGAGUGUAUGUGGGGAGGUGUGUGUGGGGGAGAUGAGGAGGUGUUGGGGUCUCUCACCCACAGAUUCAGCUGGGGAACGGGGAUGCCCCAUGGGGCUGGCAGUGUUUUGGGGAUUUUCCUGCCUGAGGGCAGCAGGGGCUGGGCUGGAGGUGUGUGGGGCUGUUCUGUCACAGUGAGUGGGUGACCCCAGCCCAGAUUUAGACUGUUUAGGUACCUGGUUUUAAAUGCUGGUGUAGUCACCAGAGGAAAAUGGGCAGUCCUCACUUCCUAUCAACUAUUAGUAAUUAGAGCAGCCAACUCAAGUCCUACUGUGUUCCUUCCUCUCAGAACAUGGGCCUAGUACGUAGUCUGGGUCAGUUGCUGUUGACACUGCAGAUGCCUGCAUUUAGAUUAAUUUAACUUGCAUGCAGGGUGGGCCCAUCAGGGGAAAAAAGGCAGUCGAAAAGCAGGAGGCUGUGGUCCAUAAAACUGGUGUGGAACCACACAGGAGCCAGGUCAAAGGGAAGGCUGUGGUUUGUCGUGCAGGACGGAGUAGAGCAGAACUUCUCAUCUGGCACUGUGCGGGUUCAAGGAGAGUCUGGAGAAGUUCAGAAGACAAGUCUGGUGAUAGUUACUACUUCCUUGUAAAACACGUCUGCUUUGUUAAGUCCUUCAGAUGAACUUGUCACAAGCUGCAGGAUCUUCUGGCCGUUUCUGAGCAUGGGGCUUGAGUUACGAAGUUUGACAUGGUGCUGCAGCUUCGUAGACGCUCAGAACUGAGAGCUGCCUGAACAACUGGGCACAGCAUUGCGUCACCCCGUGACUUACACACAUGGGAAAGAACUUGGAGAGCUCUUGAAGCAGCUGCCUACAGCCCAGGUGGGGGAUGAUGCCAUUUGGCCUAUCAUGGGGUAUUUUGUUGGAGACUUAAAGAGCAGGAGCUGUAAUUCAGCAGCCAAAAAUCUCCUUUGCUGGGAGAAAGGCAAGAGAGAGGAGGAUGCCUCUGUCCCACAGUGCUGACAGGGUUUACUGUCUCGUGGAGAUAAGAAGCUGAAUUCAGUCAGCCCAGGGCUCAUGUCUUUGUCUGGCAGUGUGGCUGAAGGAGCUGGGAAGCUUUUUUAACAAACAAACACUGCCGACACUUCAGAUUUGGGAAAGGAAAGAGGAUUUUCACAAGUCUGAAGAACGCCCCUGUCUUGGCUUGUGCCAGAGGAGAUCCCAAGGGCAGGCUCUGACCUUCUCAGAACAUGCUGAAGCAGCAUGCAUUUCUGCAAGUGCUACAUUCCAGUCCUGUUUCCUGUGCUGCAAAGCUAAACCAAGGCCAGAAUCCCAGCGUUCUCCUAACGGUGGCGCUGAAUCACAGAUAAAUUGAGCUAAUAGAUACAGG